CAAAAUGAGAGUUUGAUCCUGGCUCAGGACGAACGCUGGCGGCGUGCCUAAUACAUGCAAGUCGAGCGAGCUUGCCUAUAGAAGUUCUUCGGAAUGGAAAUAGAUACAAGCUAGCGGCGGAUGGGUGAGUAACGCGUGGGUAACCUGCCCUUAAGUCUGGGAUACCAUUUGGAAACAGAUGCUAAUACCGGAUAAAAGCUACUUUCGCAUGAAAGAAGUUUAAAAG
Molecule: ribosomal RNA, 226 nt
Filed under: Lactobacillus jensenii
Lineage: Bacteria; Bacillati; Bacillota; Bacilli; Lactobacillales; Lactobacillaceae
Description: partial 16S ribosomal RNA
Rfam family: Bacterial small subunit ribosomal RNA
Source: RNAcentral